Molecule: non-coding RNA, 966 nt
Organism: Lolium perenne
Lineage: Eukaryota; Viridiplantae; Streptophyta; Magnoliopsida; Poales; Poaceae
Source: RefSeq, a predicted model, not a curated record
GAAACUCGGCUGUACUGGCUGCCGGCCGCCGCUCGAUUCGGCGGCCAGCCACCAUCAAAGCCAGCAGAGCCGCUCGAGUCCAUGACCGCUUGCCAACGACGCCGCUCUUAUGCGUCUCCAUCUCCGGCUGCCACUAUUCUGCAUCUCCUGGACGGCUGCACAUUUGAUAGAGGUAUGUUCCUUGACUAUCAACAUAGAUCCCCAAUUCAGUUUUUGAUUUCUCCCUUCGUUCUUCCUCGCAUAUAUGCUCAUGUGCAUCUAAUUUCAUGGCCACGGCCUUUUCCUCAAUCGGGCGCCGGCGCCGCUCCGCCUCCGUUUGACCACACUGCCGCCGACGAAGGUCCUACGACAGGCAGCUAUUUGCUCCAUCGAGCGCUGCUGCUGCCGCUCCAUCUCCGUUCGAUAAUCGUCAACCGGCGGCGCGGAGCACGCGACGAGGUCGCCCCCUUCUGCGUCGCCGUCUCUGCCUCUACGUCAUUGUUCAUGCCCACCCGGGGCCGCGCGCUCAAGGCUCCAUGUGACCAUGGCCACCGUGUGGCGGGACGGCGAGGUCGGUUUUGGGUCGCCUUCUCCGCCUCUGCGUCUUCGUUCGUGCCCGCCCGACGACGCGCGCUCAAGGCAUGUUAGGCCUACAAGUAUUCCAUGGGGCCGUGUCCGGCCUGUUCCGCUUGCCGUUCCUCCUGUUCUACGCACAAAUGGCAUGCUUCGCAAGUGGCUAUUUCUCUGGUAGUACUUUCUGCUUUGUCUGACAUCAAAGCUUGGAAAUCUUGCAAUAGCCGUCCUUCCGUAGUUUCAGAAACCACUGGAUCGAUAAGGCAUAUUGGGAAAGUAAGCAUGCAUUUCUUGGUAGAAGAUGUAUCACGCGGAGGCUACAAAUGGAGAUGGUGCGUGUUGCGCGCACCUGAGAAUAUAGAGAUAAGGAAACACAACAUCACUUAUAGGAGAUGGAUUUUAUUGCCAUCAACC